GGGUUGUGAGGUUAAGCGACUAAGCGUACACGGUGGAUGCCCUGGCAGUCAGAGGCGAUGAAGGGCGUGCUAAUCUGCGAUAAGCGCCGGUAAGGUGAUAUGAACCGUUAUAACCGGCGAUACCCGAAUGGGGAAACCCAGUGUGACUCGUCACACUAUCAUUAACUGAAUCCAUAGGUUAAUGAGGCGAACCGGGGGAACUGAAACAUCUAAGUACCCCGAGGAAAAGAAAUCAACCGAGAUUCCCCCAGUAGCGGCGAGCGAACGGGGAGGAGCCCAGAGCCUGAAUCAGCAUGUGUGUUAGUGGAAGCGUCUGGAAAGGCGCGCGAUACAGGGUGACAGCCCCGUACACAAAAGCGCAUGUGCUGUGAGCUCGAUGAGUAGGGCGGGACACGUGGUAUCCUGUCUGAAUAUGGGGGGACCAUCCUCCAAGGCUAAAUACUCCUGACUGACCGAUAGUGAACCAGUACCGUGAGGGAAAGGCGAAAAGAACCCCGGCGAGGGGAGUGAAAAAGAACCUGAAACCGUGUACGUACAAGCAGUGGGAGCACAGGUUUACCUGUGUGACUGCGUACCUUUUGUAUAAUGGGUCAGCGACUUAUAUUCUGUAGCAAGGUUAACCGAAUAGGGGAGCCGGAGGGAAACCGAGUCUUAAUUGGGCGUUAAGUUGCAGGGUAUAGACCCGAAACCCGGUGAUCUAGCCAUGGGCAGGUUGAAGGUUGGGUAACACUAACUGGAGGACCGAACCGACUAAUGUUGAAAAAUUAGCGGAUGACCUGUGGCUGGGGGUGAAAGGCCAAUCAAACCGGGAGAUAGCUGGUUCUCCCCGAAAGCUAUUUAGGUAGCGCCUCGUGAAUUCAUCUCCGGGGGUAGAGCACUGUUUCGGCUAGGGGGCCAUCCCGGCUUACCAACCCGAUGCAAACUGCGAAUACCGGAGAAUGUUAUCACGGGAGACACACGGCGGGUGCUAACGUCCGUCGUGAAGAGGGAAACAACCCAGACCGCCAGCUAAGGUCCCAAAGUCAUGGUUAAGUGGGAAACGAUGUGGGAAGGCCCAGACAGCCAGGAUGUUGGCUUAGAAGCAGCCAUCAUUUAAAGAAAGCGUAAUAGCUCACUGGUCGAGUCGGCCUGCGCGGAAGAUGUAACGGGGCUAAACCAUGCACCGAAGCUGCGGCAGCGAACGUAUCACUUAAAGCGAUUCAGCGGGUUACGAUUGACGGAGC
This 1223-nucleotide ribosomal RNA is filed under the name Salmonella enterica subsp. enterica serovar Newport. RNAcentral describes it as "partial 23S ribosomal RNA". It matches the Rfam family "Bacterial large subunit ribosomal RNA", at positions 1 to 1229 of the family's 2925-position model. Lineage: Bacteria; Pseudomonadati; Pseudomonadota; Gammaproteobacteria; Enterobacterales; Enterobacteriaceae. The record is from RNAcentral.